RNAcentral lists this ribosomal RNA (521 nucleotides) under uncultured bacterium. Its description in RNAcentral is "bacterial SSU rRNA". It matches the Rfam family "Archaeal small subunit ribosomal RNA", at positions 345 to 866 of the family's 1478-position model. The record is from RNAcentral.
AACCUCCGCAAUGUGAGAAAUCGCGACGGGGGGAUCCCAAGUGCCAUUCUUAACGGGAUGGCUUUUCAUUAGUGUAAAGAGCUUUUGGAAUAAGAGCUGGGCAAGACCGGUGCCAGCCGCCGCGGUAACACCGGCAGCUCUAGUGGUAGCAAUUUUUAUUGGGCCUAAAGCGUCCGUAGUCGGUUUAAUAAGUCUCUGGUGAAAUCCUGCAGCUUAACUGUGGGAAUUGCUGGAGAUACUAUUAGACUUGAGAUCGGGAGAGGUUAGAGGUACUCCCAGGGUAGAGGUGAAAUUCUGUAAUCCUGGGAGGACCGCCUGUUGCGAAGGCGUCUAACUGGAACGGUUCUGACGGUGAGGGACGAAAGUUAGGGGCGCGAACCGGAUUAGAUACCCGGGUAGUCCUAACUGUAAACGAUGCGGACUUGGUGUUGGGGUGGCUUUGAGCUGCUCCAGUGCCGAAGGGAAGCUGUUAAGUCCGCCGCCUGGGAAGUACGGUCGCAAGACUGAAACUUAAAGGAAUU